AAAAAAAAAACAAUGCUAAUGAAUUAAUUUUUUUAUCAUGCAUUCUUGAAGAGAGUUCACGUUUGUUUUCUUAAUUAUCCGCUCUGAAGUGGGCCUUUUAAUCAUAUUUAUCGUUGGUUCGGCCAUGCCCAUAAUGAAGUCAUCAGUAAAGAAGAAUGAGACCCAACAUAUCCAGGAUAGACUACGCCCGUAAAAUCCCUGGAACUGAUCGCCCAAAUUCGAUCAGUGGGCUCUCCAGAGCGUUCGGUUGAGGCCUGAGGCAUUCGAGCAUAAAGCACGGCAUAAGAACUGUGGUGCCAUCUGACGAUAGAAAAAGAAAGCAAAUGGGAUGAAUUAUCUGCAGUCUCAAGAUAAAAGGGAGUAUCAUCAAAUCGCUGGAUUCCUCAUUUGUAAACGUGUACUUAUGUUCUUCUGCCACCAUUACAUGUAAGCCGAGAUACGCUUGCUUCAAAAUGCAUCGACUACUUGUAUUCCCAAAAUAAAAUACACUAUAUGUAACCAGUUAUUUGUAUUCAUGCUAUGCUAAUAUAACGUGCCAGCUCUCUGGUUUGCAUAUUAAAACACAUCAUCUGUUAUUUCUUCAUGUAGAGUUACUGGUUUCUAUAGUGGCUUCCACGAAAUGCUAGUAGUUUCUUCAAACUUUCAAACUCACAUGAUGACCCAAUCUGCAAAAGAAGUAUGAUGAUUCACGAGAAAGGUCAUUCAUAGAUGCGUAGAGACGUGCAGUCCUUAACACCUGAUGCUUUUUCAUGACACCGGUACAGUGCAGCUUUCGCAAG
Molecule: long non-coding RNA, 779 nt
Organism: Centruroides sculpturatus (bark scorpion)
Lineage: Eukaryota; Metazoa; Arthropoda; Arachnida; Scorpiones; Buthidae
Exons: 3
Source: RefSeq, a predicted model, not a curated record